UUAAUAAGUCAGUGGUGANNUCUCGGGGCUCAACCUUGAAACUGCCAUUGAUACUGUUAGACUUGAAUACAGUUGGAGUAGGCGGAAUGUGUAGUGUAGCGGUGAAAUGCUUAGAUAUUACACAGAACACCGAUAGCGAAGGCAGCUUACUAAACUGUGAUUGACGCUCAUGAACGAAAGCGUGGGGAGCGAACAGGAUUAGAUACCCUGGUAGUCCACGCCGUAAACUAUGAUUACUCGAUAUUGGCGAUAUACGGUCAGUGUCUAAGCGAAAGUGA
Molecule: ribosomal RNA, 278 nt
Filed under: uncultured Bacteroidota bacterium
Lineage: Bacteria; Pseudomonadati; Bacteroidota
Description: uncultured Bacteroidetes bacterium partial 16S ribosomal RNA
Rfam family: Bacterial small subunit ribosomal RNA
Source: RNAcentral